UCCCUGGUGGCUCAGUUGGUGAAGAAUCUGCCUGCAAUGCAGGAGACCUGGGUUCGAUCCCUGGGUUGGGAA
This 72-nucleotide transfer RNA is filed under the name Capra hircus (goat). It matches the Rfam family "tRNA". From Rfam's summary of the family: Transfer RNA (tRNA) molecules are approximately 80 nucleotides in length. Their secondary structure includes four short double-helical elements and three loops (D, anti-codon, and T loops). Lineage: Eukaryota; Metazoa; Chordata; Mammalia; Artiodactyla; Bovidae. The record is from Rfam by way of RNAcentral. RNAcentral also lists the same sequence under 1 other name.